This 497-nucleotide ribosomal RNA is filed under the name uncultured bacterium. RNAcentral describes it as "partial 16S ribosomal RNA". It matches the Rfam family "Bacterial small subunit ribosomal RNA", at positions 899 to 1397 of the family's 1533-position model. The record is from RNAcentral.
ACUCAAAUGAAUUGACGGGGGCCCGCACAAGCGGCGGAGCAUGUGGCUUAAUUCGAUGCAACGCGAAGAACCUUACCUAGGCUUGACAUGCAGAGUAAAGCGGGUGAAAGCCCGUGUCCUUUUGGGCUCUGCACAGGUGCUGCAUGGCUGUCGUCAGCUCGUGCCGUGAGGUGUUGGCUUAAGUGCCGCAACGAGCGCAACCCCUGCUUUUAGUUGCCAGCGGGUAAUGCCGGGGACUCUAAAAGGACUGCCGGGGACAACUCGGAGGAAGGUGGGGAUGACGUCAAGUCCGCAUGGCCCUUAUGUCUAGGGCUGCACACAUGCUACAUUGCGCGCUACAAAGGGCUGCGAUACCGCAAGGUGGAGCGAAUCCCAAAAAAGCGCGCCUGGUUCGGAUUGGGGUCUGCAACUCGACCCCAUGAAGUCGGAGUCGCUAGUAAUCGCAGAUCAGCAACGCUGCGGUGAAUACGUUCCCGGGCCUUGUACACACCGCCCGU